UGGACAGAAAGACCCUAUGAAGCUUUACUGUAACUUGAAAUUGAAAUUGGACUUUAUUCGCGCAGCAUAGGUGGGAGGCGUUGAUUAUAAUCUUGCGGGAUUAUUGGAGCCAUCAGCGAGAUACCACCCUUGUAAUGUUAGAUUUCUAACUUUGAAUCAUUAUCUGGUCAAAGGACAGUUUCAGGCGGGCAGUUUGACUGGGGCGGUCGCCUCCUAAACGGUAACGGAGGCGUACAAAGGUUUCCUCUGAACGGUUAGAAAUCGUAUCUAGAGUGUAAAGGCAUAAGGAAGCUUGACUGUGAGACCUACAAGUCGAGCAGGGACGAAAGUCGGUCUUAGUGAUCUGACGGUACUGAGUGGAAAGGCCGUCACUCAACGGAUAAAAGUUACUCUAGGGAUAACAGGCU
This 407-nucleotide ribosomal RNA is filed under the name uncultured eukaryote. Its description in RNAcentral is "bacterial LSU rRNA". It matches the Rfam family "Bacterial large subunit ribosomal RNA", at positions 2077 to 2483 of the family's 2925-position model. The record is from RNAcentral.